RNAcentral lists this ribosomal RNA (236 nucleotides) under uncultured Staphylococcus sp. RNAcentral's name for it is "partial 16S ribosomal RNA". It matches the Rfam family "Bacterial small subunit ribosomal RNA", at positions 104 to 334 of the family's 1533-position model. Lineage: Bacteria; Bacillati; Bacillota; Bacilli; Caryophanales; Staphylococcaceae. The record is from RNAcentral.
GGGUGAGUAACACGUGGAUAACCUACCUAUAAGACUGGGAUAACUUCGGGAAACCGGAGCUAAUACCGGAUGAUAUUUUGAACCGCAUGGUUCAAAAGUGAAAGACGGUCUUGCCGUCACUUAUAGAUGGAUCCGCGCUGCAUUAGCUAGUUGGUAAGGUAACGGCUUACCAAGGCAACGAUGCAUAGCCGACCUGAGAGGGUGAUCGGCCACACUGGAACUGAGACACGGUCCAG